RNAcentral lists this ribosomal RNA (497 nucleotides) under uncultured bacterium. RNAcentral describes it as "partial 16S ribosomal RNA". It matches the Rfam family "Bacterial small subunit ribosomal RNA", at positions 28 to 507 of the family's 1533-position model. The record is from RNAcentral.
GAUGAACGCUGGCGGCGUGCCUAAUACAUGCAAGUCGAGCGAACGGACGAGACGCUUGCUUCUCUGCUGUUAGCGGCGGACGGGUGAGUAACACGUGGAUACCCUACCUAUAAGACUGGGAUCACUUCGGGAAACCGGAGCUAAUACCGGAUGAUAUUUUGAACCGCAUGGUUCAACAGUGAAAGACGGUCUUGCUGUCCCUUAUAGAUGGAUCCGCGCUGCAUUAGCUAGUUGGUAAGGUAACGGCUUACCAAGGCAACGAUGCAUAGCCGACCUGAGAGGGUGAUCGGCCACACUGGAACUGAGACACGGUCCAGACUCCUACGGGAGGCAGCAGUAGGGAAUAUUCCGCAAUGGGCGAAAGCCUGACGGAGCAACGCCGCGUGAGUGAAGAAGGUCUUCGGAUCGUAAAACUCUGUUAUUAGGGAAGAACAGAUGUGUAAGUAACUGUGCACAUCUUGACGGUACCUAAAGAGAAAGCCACGGCUAACUACGUG